CUUCUACAAUCUCUCUGUCGACAAUGAGCGACGAUCUCGUCUUUCAUCGCCGACGAUCUCUCACGAUGAUUUCGUCUUCUACGUCGUGUUCUUGUCUCUCAUUGCCGUGUUCUCGUUUCUUUCGUCGUGUUCUCGUGUCUCUUCGCCGUGUUUUCGUCUCUCUUGGCCGUGUUCUGUUUGCUGGGUAGAUCUGUUUCGGAUCUCGAUUUCAAUAUACAAUCGAUUCUUGUUGCUUUGCUCGUGAGGAUUUCUCUGAUUGUUGCCCCGACUUCGUCGAUUAAUGCUUCUUCUUAUAUCCCUUUUUAAUCUCUACAGCUUCAUAUCAGUUUUUCCUUCCUUCGUGUUGUUUGUUGUACUUAUGGUUUAUGCUGGAUUUUUAGGUUGAACUCGUAUGUACUUUGAAAUUUACCAAGAUAGGACUAAUAUUUCUUUGGCUUUCGAUGCUUCAUCCGUAGAAACCAAACUAGAAUAUCAUAUUGGAAAACACAAUCGUUCUUAUUAAUUAGUUUUACAAAGGUGUACGUUUGUAGCUCAAGAGAAAAUUGUAGGAUAUUUGGCUAAUUCAACAACGGGGAUUGUUUUGAUGAUGAUAACCACGGUUAGAGAUUGAUACUUAAGGUUUGGUCUCAUGAUUUGAUUAGUUGUAAUGUUUAUAGCUCGUAAAGAGUGACAUUUUUUUUUGUGUGUGUUGUCUCUGUUUGGAUUGUCUUUGUACACAGAAGAAGAGAAGAUGUAAAUGUAUAGUGAUUGGUGUGUCUUUGUUGGAGCACCUGAGACUAUAGACAAUAGAGGAGCGAUGCCCAAUAUUCACAAUCUCUUUCACCCCCAAGAGAUCUUCACUUGCAUUGAGUUGCUCUUGUUGAAGGUGGGACAUACAACGUGCAACACAGUUAGGACCUCAUGCUUAUGUGGAUUUAGUGUGAAAGGAUCAAACAAUGUGAAACACCGCUCGAACGUUUCAGAAUUGGCAAGAAUCGUGGCUGGUUUUAUAUUGCAGGAGAGCUUAGAUUGUAUAUGACAUGUUACUUUGUUUAACUUUCCUGCAAUUCUUAUUUAUAUUUUUGAUUAUGUAAGUAGUACAUCAGAUAUAGAAUAUUAAGGAUUCAUAAUAUAUCUUAAAAAGUUGCAUUGUUUUGUCAAGGAAAA
Molecule: long non-coding RNA, 1146 nt
Organism: Capsella rubella
Lineage: Eukaryota; Viridiplantae; Streptophyta; Magnoliopsida; Brassicales; Brassicaceae
Exons: 2
Source: RefSeq, a predicted model, not a curated record